This 23307-nucleotide long non-coding RNA is filed under the name Salvia miltiorrhiza (redroot sage). Its description in RNAcentral is "long non-coding RNA (SMIL_LNC004785)". Lineage: Eukaryota; Viridiplantae; Streptophyta; Magnoliopsida; Lamiales; Lamiaceae. The record is from RNAcentral.
UCAUCUCCUCUCCCUCUUUCUCUCUAUCUCUCCUCUUUCUCUCUCUAGGUCUGCGAAUUUGGGGAUCAAUAGCACGGCGGCGGUGGCGCCGUUCAGGGCGUGCUUCGGCUUGGAAUCGAUCGCGAGGACGGCGGCGGAGCCGGCGGUGCUUGAGAUUGAGCAGGUUUUUUGGGAGGGGGGGGGAGGGAAGGAUGCUGCGACGUGGAGGAUGAGCCGGCGGUGCUUGAGAUUGAGCAGGUAUUCGUGGACGGCGGUUCGAGCCCGAGGACGACGGUGGUGAUCGGAGCGCAUCAGUUGGAGGAGAAAACGCCGCCGCCGCCUUUGCUGCAGAUCUCGCGCUGGACGGUGUCGAACUCGACUGCGAAGAUGGCCGCAGAUCUGCAACGUUGUCCCUCGCUCCGCCUCUUCCGACAACGAAUUGCCGUCGCAUUGCCUCCUCCAGCUGCAACGACAGAUCUGCUCGCCAGCCACAGAUCUGCUCGAUUUCUNNNNNNNNNNNNNNNNNNNNNNNNNNNNNNNNNNNNNNNNNNNNNNNNNNNNNNNNNNNNNNNNNNNNNNNNNNNNNNNNNNNNNNNNNNNNNNNNNNNNNNNNNNNNNNNNNNNNNNNNNNNNNNNNNNNNNNNNNNNNNNNNNNNNNNNNNNNNNNNNNNNNNNNNNNNNNNNNNNNNNNNNNNNNNNNNNNNNNNNNNNNNNNNNNNNNNNNNNNNNNNNNNNNNNNNNNNNNNNNNNNNNNNNNNNNNNNNNNNNNNNNNNNNNNNCCACGGCGGAGCUAUCGAGCCCGCCGCCUCCCUUGCGAGGGGGGAGCGGUCUCGGCGGCGAAGCGUCGGAUGUAGACGAAGAAGAAGCCGAGGAAGAACAUGGCGGUGAGAAGGACCAGGAUUGCUACGGCCAUAGAGGAGUCGAAGGCCGGAGUCGGUUCCACUGGAGGUCUUCUGGCGGCGACGGUGUUAUUGCCGCCGGCGGUGAGUGGGGAUCUCCAGAUGCUUGUUUAAAGUUUGAUGAUUUUGACUAGCUUCGUAAUUUUAGAUGAUUAUUGUGUAGGGUUUUUGAGCAUGAGUUAGAUGCUUAUUUGUGUAUAGUACAAAAUAAGGUUUGAUAAGUUGUCAUAUUGAAACCUCUGAGUUUUGAUGUUCGUAGUAUUUCAUAGUUUUAUGCGUGUAUUGAAUUUCUGGUGAAAUUGGCUCAAUCUGUUGUGAAUAUCUUUGUCUUGAGAAGUUGACAUGGAUAAUUUAGUCGAACUCAAUUUGAAGUUUUUAGGUUCUUAUGAGAAUUUUUAUCUUUGAUCUUAAUGUGUGGUUUUUAUUUUGAUUGUGAAACUGAAACAUUUUGAUUAAUGUUCUUGAAUUCACGACCAAAUUUAUGAAUUCACAACUAAAUUAAAUUCACAAUCAGAUUUAUGAAUUCACAACUUAAUGUCUUUAAAUUCACAACCAGCUCGAUGAAUUCACAACUUAAUAUUCUUGAAUUCACAACCAGCUCGAUGAAUUCACAACUUAAUAUUCUUGAAUUCACAACCGGAUCUAUUAAUUCACAACUAAAACUCGAAUUCACAAUCAAAAUAAAUUCUAGUUUUCGUUGUGAAUUCGACUGAUUUUGAAUUCACAAUCAAAAAAUUCUUAUUGUGAAUUAAAUUUAGGUUGUGAAUUCACAACCAAAAAAAUCUGGUUGUGAAUUAAAUUUUGAUUGUGAAUUCGACUGGUUGUGAAUUCACAAACAAAAAAUUCUGGUUGUGAAUUCGAUUGGUUGUGAAUUGCGGGAUUUUUUAAAGGGGUGAUGUAAAGUGGACAUUUUUUUAAUUUUUAAUGUGAAGGGUAUUUUGGUAACAGUGGACAUUUUUUAAGUUUUUAUUUUAGUGGACAUUUUUUAUCUUUACAAUAUGAAAGUGGCCAUUUUAAAAAUCCACUCAUAAAUUUAUCCAUAAAGUAAACACACCCGUAGAGUACUAUCCUUUAGUAAUUUUUCGAAAGCUAAGAAAUUAUCAACUCUAUCAUUCUUUUCAAUUUGAAAAGAUUGAUGCGGAGGUUAAAUCUGUCUUAGUAUUUUUUUUCAUUAUUUAAUUUAUAAUUUCUUUCCAAUACAAAAAUAUAUUGUUCUACACAUGUAGACAUAAACCAUGGAAUAAAUAAUAUUAUUUUAUUAUUCCUAGCACAAAAUUCAUAAAAUUCUUCUUGAAUAUAAUAAUUUUCUUUUGAAUUAAAAUUUUCAAAAAACCAUUUUUUAAAUGGUUCACAUUUAUGUGAGUUAAAUUCUAAUUUUAUUAUCUGUCUUUGCCUGUGAACCUGGACUAAAAUAACUUUUUGUUUCUAAAAUCAUUAUAUUGGGAAAUCAAUUUUUGACUCGAUUAUAUCCGUUUCUUUAGUGUUAAAAACAUUGUUCUUUUAUUCCUUUUAAAAUAUUAUUUUUAUCUAUUACUAUUAUUUUAUAAAAUUUGUCUUCAUCUAAGUCUUGCAGGAUAGGUUUUUCUCUUAUUUGAGAUUUAGAGGCUCUAGAUGGCGUAAAAGGAGAUUCUAUCAUUCUAAUAAUAGUGUAGUCAAAUAGGAGUAUAAUUUUUGGGAUUACAUUGAUGCUUUUGAUAAGGUUCUUUCAUAUGAUAACAACAAAAGAAAUCAUUCCUGAUUUAUAAAAAAAUGUUGCGAACAACAACAAUAAUAAUAAUAGAAGAGUAGUGUGAAUAGGAUGUUUUAGUUCAAAGCUUCCACAUAAUGUAAGCAAUCAUUUAAAGGAGAAAUCAAAAUAUUAUUAUACUAUUUACACGUAUUCUCAAAAAUAUUUUAAUAAUUAAACUAUUAGCAUGUUGUGAUAUUUGUUUUGACCCAUAUCAUUUUAAAAAUUAAAAAUAAAAAUUAUAUAGUAGCAUCCAACGAGCCACAUCAAGAUUUUAGGAGCCGAAAAAUAGAUGCAAGAUUAGAGAUGGCAAUGGAUCGUGGACCCGGUCCAGAUCCGCAGAUCCAUAUCCAUUUUUUAGGAUCUGGACCUUAAAAAAAUGGACUCAAUGGAUCUGGACCGGUUCUGGGUUAUUCCUAUAAUUUCCGGAUCUGGAUCUGGAGCAAAAAAUAUGAGACCCAGAUCCGGUCCAGAUCCGGUCCAUGGAUCCAUUUAUAUAUAAAAUAUAUAUAAUGUUAUUUAUUUUUAUCUAACUCUAAUCUAAUAUCUAUGACUAAUCUAUAUAUCUCUUUUCAUAAAUAAUAUAUAAUGCAAUUAAAGAUAAUAUUUUACUUUAUUUAAUUAAAUUUAGUUUCAUUAUUAUUAUUAUUAUUAUUAUUAUUAUUAUUAUUAUUAUUAUUAUUAUUAUUAUUAUUUGUAUUGAUAACAUUAAUUUUCUUUUUCUUAUGUAAAAUAGAGGACACAUUGUUCCACUGUUAUUUAGUACUUGAUUAUUAUAUUCUUAUUGUUAUUAAACUUCGAUAAUAUUUUUAUAGAAUAUGGUUAAUUCAUUUAUUUUGAAUAAUUGUUGAAAAUCUAGACAAUAAUUAUAAUUUUAUUUGGGAUUAAUUUAAGAUUUAUAAAUUUAAUUUAGAAGACCAAAAGUAUGGAUCCGGGUCUGGACCCGAGACCCUGUGGAUCUUAUGGAUCUGGACCUGGAUCUCAUUUUUUUGGAUCCAUUGGAUCUGGACCGGAUCUGGACCUAAGUAAAAAAAUCCGAAUCUGGAUCUGGACCAAGCAUGAUCCGGUCCAGAUCCGGCCCAUUGCCAUCCCUAUGCAAGAUAUAUUUUCGUACAAAGCUGAUAGUUUUGAGUUUAAAUAAACAUUUCAUAUAGUUUGAAACCUUUUUUAUAAACCCAGUCUAAUUUCGGGUUUAAAUAAUAUUUACCAUUUUCAUAAGGCGGUCCUGGAUGCACCCAGGCCCCAUGCUUUUGCUACCACUAAACAAAAAACAUCAUUAACGAUGGAAAUUUUCGUCAUAACUUUGAAAAUUUUCAUCGUUAAAUUAGUUCUUGACUGAUUAACCACGGAAAAUAGAUGUCUAAAUUAAUCGUGGGAAAAAAGAUUAACAACGGAAAUUUCCAUUGAGAACUUUAACAAUAGAUUGUCGACGGGAUUGGCUCGUCGUUAAUACGUGAGAUACUAGUGUCACCAAAUUUUGGUGAACAAACUAAGAUGGGAAUCCCCGUCGACAAUUUCACGACAGGAAUUUUCCGUUGAUUUUUUUUAAAUAACCGCAAUUCGUGGACAAUCCAUCGACAAAUUGAAUUUGUUUUUUCCCGUCGUAAUAUGUCGAAAAUCAUUCUGUAAAUUUAAUUUAUUUAUUUUUUGAUUGUAAUAAUCUCUUGAAUUAUAUAAAAAAAACCUAACAAUUUAAAUAUUAAUUCAAACAUAUUUAUUGUUGUGCCCAAAAAAAUCAGUUAUGACAGAAAUAACAAGAACACGAAAGAGAUGCUAGAAUGUUGAACUUUGUAUUGUUUUUUAGCGAAAGGCUUUGAAAGUCAGUGUACAAUGGUUAUCGAUUAUGCUUAUUUUAGGAUUUUACAUGUAUUUAUAGAUGAACGGUGACGUAUUCUAAUAGAAAAAGGACUCUUGCUAGAAUUAUAAUGAGACUCGGCUUCUUCAUGUUUAUCGCGUCCUUUCCAUAGCAAUCUUGGUAUUGAGCUUGAGUUGAUAUGAGUUGGGCUUAAAAUGGGCCUUCUGGAUUUGGGCUUUAUACAACGGUGUUUUUGGACUGAGCAGUGUUGUUCUAGGCUGAGCAGCCCUGUUUCUCAUGAGUCUCCCCUGCAUUCAAUUACUUUCCUCUGGUACUAUAGGGGUGCAUAUUUUUGUCAUCAUCAUUUAUCAUAAUAAAGCAUCCAAAUUCAAACUACAAAUUAUAUCAAAAUUCGUAUCACAAGUUCAAAUUAAACCAAAUAUCUAAAUCCAAUUCAUAAUGACAAAAUAAAUUCAAAAUACAAGUUGCAUCAAGGAUUAGGACCCCUGUGUGUCCUUGCCAUCAACUCCAUCAUCAUAAGCUUCAAAUCAUUGAUGGUGCCAUCUUGCUCCAAUAUCCGGUCCUCAAGGUUGUCCCCUCUAGCAUCCAAUCCAGCUUUGAGCGUCUCAACCUCCUCACAAGAAACAAUAUGUAGCCUGAGACGUGCUAGUGCACUGAGUACUAAAUCCACUAAACAUUAUCUAUGACAUCAUGCCCAUCCUGAGUAGGGGCGAGGCAGAUACGUGGGGAGGCGACAGCGAGCGGGGCAAGGAGCGGAUCAGCGCAAGGUUGGCGGCGUAUAUAGCAGGGACAAGGCCGAGGGAGGCGGACACGCGGCAGAGCAGAGGGCAGACGCGUGGCGUAGUUCGACUCCGACAGGAAAGGGGACGCGGCGUGGUAGCUUUGCGCAAUUGAUUUAUAGGCCAACUGAUUUUGGAGAAGAAGAUUUUAAAUUAAUCAAAUAUUAACGACGAGGUCUCGACGGAAAUUAAAAAAAUGCAUUUCUCGACAAGCUAACGACGGAAACUCGAAAUAUGAAAAUUAAUUAUUUUUUUAAUUUAUGAUUGACGACGGGAUCCGAAAUUUUACAUUUAAUUUAAUAAUUUAUGAUGAAACUAUAUAAAAUAAAAUUAAUAUUUUAAAAAAUUAAAAUUUCACGAUGGAUUCUUGACGGGUUAACAACGGGAUUAAGUGUAGUCGUAAAUCCGUCGAUAACACAACAAUUUUUUCGACGGUCUCUUCCCGUCGUUAAUUUCCGCUAUUAUUUAAGAGUUUUUUUUAACAUACCACUCCCUCCGUCCCUGAAAAUUGUGACAUUAUUACCAUAUUAGACGUCCCUAAAAAUUGUGAUAUUUCCUUAUUUUGAAAUAACCCGACAAACUUUAUCUCUCAUUAUUUACAAAAAAGUAUGGGAUUCAAUCUCCACUCAAAUAUAACUAUCACACUUUAUUUUAAAACUCGUGCCCUUUCCAUUGGAUCACAAUUUUUAGUCACGGACCAAUAAUUUUGAAUUGACUUUGAAGUACUUGAGAAGAAACUUCUUUGUUUGAUCUGCCUUGUAGCUGACAACGUCAGCUUGAUUCUUUCCCCGAAUAUGUAGAUUCACAAGUGCAUGACAUCCUAAUGAUAGGUUGGAAAGACUUUCAUUCUUCAGAAAAUAUUCUUCUUGACUUCCACCGUUUGUUGAAUACACCACAUGUUGAUUGUUGAGUGUGUUUCACAACUUCAGUUUGGUAGAGUUAUCUCUCUUUUGUCACAAAUUUAGGCAGAGACAAACUAAUUAAGCUAACUCAAUGGUAUCCCUAAUUGUGUAAUUAAAUAUGCAUGCAAUUGUAACCAUUAAUGAGUAGAAAUGCAAAAGCGAACAAAUAAUUCUCUUAAAAUUCCUUCUAUUUUUAUAUUUUUGUUUUUUAUAAUUGACCAAAUUAUAAAGAUGGUGUGACGUACGGUGGACUCAAACAUGAUAUAUUUGGUCUGCAUGGAUUAACCAUGCACUCUACCUCUAGAUUAACACUCAGUUAUAAGAUUGAUUAAUUUGCGAGGAAUGUGAUAAUUUGUCACAUAUACAUAUGGAAUAUUUGUGUCGCAAUAGUUGUUGUAUAUUAUAAAUGCUGUAUUUUAGAAGACACGACCAGCAAACUUCUUCUAAUUGAGGCACACUACUAACCGAAGAAAAUGUAGGUGUCAAAAAAGUUUAGAAUUUCGGCUGCUACCAAUCUUCAUUUCCAACUGCAAUAUUGUUGAGCUCUUCAAAAGUCUUUGGUCAAAUUUUUUGAUGACUUGAGUUGAGUCAAAGAUGGUGGCUUCCACAAGUCAAACUUCUAUGGGGUGUUGGGUUUGGAAAAUUAAUUAAACGGGACUUAGUCUUAAUUAUAAUAUAAAAUUCGGGUUAGGUUCAGGUGCAGGUGCAGGGAGAUCAGGGUGGGUGGUUGAAGCUCCCACUUAUUAUUAUUAUUAUUAUUAUUAUUAUUAUUAUUAUUAUUAUUAUUAUUAUUAUUAUUAUUUAGGAAGUAAUUUGAAAGAAAAAACUUAUCAAAUUGUUUUAAUAAUCAAAGUUAAUAAAAAUUCAGUUCAUAUUUUUCAAUAUAAGCGAAUUUUUAUACAAAAAUUUAUUUUCAUCAUAUGAGUUCAUAAAAUCUAUACUAAUGAAUUCAUAUUUUUUUUUUUUGUGAUUUGUUGUAUAUAUUUUCUCUCUUUGAAUUAACUUUCCAGUGCCUAGUUUGAGUUAAUUUUCUACACUGUAAAAAAAUAGAGUUCUAGCUAAGAAAAUAUCCAUCUCAAAAUCUCGCCUUUUCCAUCGCAAGCUUGGAGUUGCGAUGGAAAAGUAACCGAACGCAUGGGACGCUAAAAAUGGGAUCGCAAAAUCUCAUAACGACGGGUUUAACGAACUUGCAAUGAAAAUUUCGUCUCUGACCGACUGGUGGUCGUCGUCGUCAGAAUUUUGAGACGGAAACAGAGACGAAAAAUUCGUCGCUAGUUGCGACGGAAUGAGUUCCAUCGUUAGAUUUGUCGGUUAGCAUUUUGUGGCCAUUGGUGGCCUUUUUUGGCAACAGAAUUCUCGUCGCUAAAGUUACCAAUUUUUUUAGUUUUCUGUUAUUUACCUAUAUGUUAAUACAUUUCACAAUCGAAUAAUAAUUAAAAUGUUUUCAUAAUAUAUAGAAUCUAAAUAGUAUCUAGCAAUCAAUGACAAUCAUCAUAGUUAAAUUUCUAACAAUGUAAAUUCAAGUUAAGUUGUCAUUUAACAAUCCAAAUUAAAGUAGUUCCUAAAAAGAGGAUGGUGGAUUCCUCGUCUCAGCUAGCAUCUUCAUGAACUCGACUUGUUGUGCCUGCAACUUCACUUGCACGUCUGCACGCAUCUGAGCCUCUCUAGCCUGCACAUAUCUAUCCUGCAUCUGAUCCUCGUACUUCUUCAUCUUAUCAGCUAAUUAAACUACAUCAAAGUGAGGUUGUGAGCUAAGACUGGCUCCUCAACUGGAUCCAGAGGUGGAGGUGUAAGCACGAGAUCGUGAAAGAACAAACAAAAACUUUUAAAGGGAAAAAAUAGUACUUGUCUAAAAGGAAAUCACCAACGUGAAAGAACAAACAAAAAACACAAAGCCAAUAAGGAGAGGAAAAACUUCUGAGAGCUCCGGCCUAACCAUCGCCCCCAAGAAUCUCCGGACUCCCAACUCGCAACAACAAGCCAAACCAAAAAAUAAAAAAUGAACCACUUGUUUCCAAAGGUUAAUACCUAGCAAGAGAGCUCGUCGACGACCAAUCCAGCUCUUCGCGGAAAUGAGACCCGUAGCCCACCCGUUGAGAAUAAGAAAAGAAAACCAAGCGAGACUCCACCAACAGAGGCGAACCUCCCCAACUCCAGCCGCUAGCGUACCAACAGGCUGUAAAAAAGCCGAGGAGGCCCUCCAAACCACACCCCACGAGCAGCAGCCCAACCGACUGCCGCAAGCAAACCCGCAAAGACUCGACUUACCCCUACCAACGACGCAGCUCACCAUCGUGUAGUCCCACACCUCAGACCUCCAACCAUCCAUCUAGCUGUACAAACAACCGAUCAGCCGCACACUAGCUGUUCGAGAAAAAAGACCCCAUUAUUUAACAACUCCGGAGAUGGUUGUGCGCUGCCCUCUUCAAUAGGAUGAGGCCACCAACCUUCAGUGCGCUCCCCAUUCGCCAUAAUAUCCGCAGGUUUAUUUCCUUCUCGAAAAAUAUGAGAAACCUUAAUAUAAAAAUCAUCCAAAAAAUGAAGAACAACUUUCCAAGGGGCCAUAAAUCUCCAUGGUACGUCCCAAGAAUGAGAACUCAACAAAUUGACAACAUAGGACGAAUCCGACUCCACCCACAAGUAUAACCAACCGCGUUUGUGAGCGAUGAUGGCGGUGACAAUGGCUAAGAGUUCUGCCUCGAAAGCAAAACCCACGCCACCUUUAGUAUGAAAGCAACCCCUGACAGCAGCCCACUUGUCCCUAAAUACGCCCCCAACUGCAAUGAGACCCGGAGCUCCCGUGGCAGAACCAUCGGUGUUAACUUUUAUCCAUCUUGAAAUCGGAGGCCACCAAUGAACCUCAAUCAUGGAAGGAGGAUGCGUCUCACGACUCUUCACGCCAAGACGUCUUGUAACAUGGAAGUCCGUCCAAGAAUUCUAAAUGGAGCCCAAGCGUGUAAACGUGGCAUCAAUCUCCUAAAUCGCCAUUUUGACAAAGGCGACAACACGACGCGAGUCAAAGCUCACAUCUCCCCGUUUCCUCAUAGCUAAUAUUUAAAUUCUUGCGCAUUGCACAUUAAUUUAAGGUGAUUAUGUAAUUAUAUAGAUUAAUUCUAUAUGCUAGUUUUAAUUUAUGAAAAUUUAAAUUAAAGUCCAUGUUAUACUUUUUUUUUGAGGUAGUCUAUGCUAGGGGUGAGCAAAAACCGAGCCGACCGAAAAAACCGACCGAAAAAUGACCGAACCGAUCGGUUUUCGGUCGGUUUUUUUGUAUUGGGCGGUCGGUUCGGCCAGAUUUUUGCAGAAAUUUCGGUUUGGUCGGCCGGUUCGGUUUUUUCGAUUUUGGCCGGUCGAAAACCGAACCGACCGACCAUAAUGUACAUUACUAGGGUUUUUUUUCCCCCCACUAAUUCUCCUUCUCUUCUCCCUAUCGGCUUCUCCUCUCAUUGCGCCGCACCCCACCCCACAGCCCGCACGCCCCCCUCACCUCAGCGCCACUGCCCGGCUCCCCCCUAUUCCUAACCUUACCGGCCGGCGAACAGCAGCCCCAGCCCAGUCCGAGUCCGAGGCCGCGCCCUCGCCGCCUGGAAGAAGCCCGCAGCCGUCGAGGCAGCCUGGAACUCGCAGCCCUCGCCGCGAAGAAGCCCGCAGCCGUCGUCGCCGCGCCCAGCCCGCAGCCGUCAUCGUCCAGAACACAGGUGAGUACCGUGAGUUUCCGUAAUAAGGUUUAGUUCAGUUUCUUUUUCGUUUAGUUCUGUUUUUGUUGAAACGAUUGUUGGCUGUUAAUUAGUUCAAAUGGAAGAUUGUUGUUAGUUCAAUUUGAUUAUUUGAUAGCGAAGUUUGAAGUUUCAAAACAUAGCGAAAGAAGCCCGUGAUUGUUGGCUGUUAAUUCAGAAUGCAAUAACAAAUUUGAUAGUUUAGUUCGCUGAUUGUUGGUGUUAAUUGUUGGCAGAUUUGAUAAUGUCGCAAGUUGAUGGAUCGAGUCCGAGUGACAUGCCUCCACCCCCCACCACCAACAAGUGGUCCAAGUCCAACCGAAUCGGUUCAAACAACCUCAAAGAAAAGGAAAACCGAUAGGAAAGAGUCGGAUGUAUGGAAACAAUUCACCCGAUUUGAAGACCAUGAGGGAAACAAGAAAGCAAAGUGCAUGAAGGAGAUGAUGUGGCCAAUGAUCAUUCUAUGGAGGUUGAAUCUUCUUCACAACAAGAGCAUGACACUCCUUAUUUAUUGGUGGACAAGUAUGAGAAGCAAAUAAUGCUUGAAGGAGAUGAUGUGGCCAAUGAUUUGGAUGUGUACUUGAAUGAGAAAGAAAGAAAGGUGCCUAAUGUGAAGAACUUUGAUUUGUUGACUUGGUGGAAGGUCAAUGAACCUAGGUUGCCUAUUCUUGCCAAGCUUGCCCGAGAUGUGUUGUCGGUACCCGUUUCUACGGUUGCAUCCGAGUCCGCUUUUAGCACCGGGGGAAGGGUGCUCGAUCCUUUUAGAAGUUCUUUGAAUCCUACUAUGGUGGAGAGCCUCAUUUGUGCCCAAGAUUGAUUGAGGAAGGGAAAGGAUCCUAUUACAGUUGAAGAAGAUUUGGCGUCCAUUCGAAAGCACGAAGAAGGUUAGUUAUAUAUCAAAUGAAUAAUUUCUUUAUAUUUUAUUUAUUAUGAUUAGCUUGUAACUUAUUUCAUUUUAUUUUGUAGCUUUGAAGAUCCUUGGAGUUGGAGUUGUCAUAAACAAAGAAUCAAAUCAAGCCGGUGUAGACUAGAGUGAAGAUUUGGAAAAAUGUUGGAAGUUUGAAUGUUGGAACUUGGAUUUCAUUUUAUUUUAUUUUGUGACUUUAUAUGUUGGAUUUUGAAUGUUGGAAGUUUGGAAUUUGGAUUUGGAAUGUUGGAUUUGGAUUUUUAAUUUUAAAUCAUUUUUUUAUGUAUAAAUAUUUGUAUAAAUGUUUGGAAUUAGGUGGAAAAUGAAAAAACUGCACAGGUUUCGGCCGGUUCGGUCGGUCGGCCGAAAACCGACAAUUGGCCGGUUCGGUUUUCGGCCGGUUUGAAUAUGGUGGGUCGGUCGGUCGGCCAAUUUUUUUCUGGACCGGUCGGUCGGUCGGCCGGCUAAAAACCGGUCGGUCGGUGGGCCGAACCGACCGAUGCUCACCCUAUGCUAAACUUUAAUUAUCAUGUGUGUUGGACUUUGAUGAUUUAUUUUGGGCCUUGACUUUUUUUAAUUAAACUUUACUGGUUAAUAAACAAAGCUCAUGAGUUAUUUUAUGUGAAAACUCAAUCCAUAUUUUUAGAAAUCGACAUAUUUUUUUUUAAGGAUUUAUUUACUUUUGCCAUUAAAAAAAUGAAUUUUUGGAAAGAUGGAAUCCAAGUUUACUCAGACUUCAAUUCUGCAUCUGUUCAACCGACGCCAUACUCCAGCUAUGCAUCUGUUCAACCCACCCCAUAGCCCAUACUCCAGCUAUGCAUAUGUUCAAUCAACCCCAUACGUAAUACUCUUCACACCUACCUUCUACUAUUCACUUCUUCUUCUUUAAAAAGAAGUAUCACACUCAACACAAAAAUUUUACCCAGCUCAAGAAAUUUCAAACGGUAUGCUUCUCCCCUCAUCAAAUCAUUUUUCUGCAAUUCAUUUCAGACUCCUUAAUCAGCCAAACUUUGCAUUCUCUUUGCAGAAAUCAACCAACAGAAUUUGUAGAAAGGUUCUACUUUAAACUUCUUUAACUUCAGCUCUUACUUCAAUAUUUCAGCAUGAUUUAAACACUCAACUAGACUUUACAAACCAACAAAUGCAUAAGGAACAGCGGCGCUCCUCGUCGUUGAAGAAGAGGGAGAGGGUCGGAUCGAGUUGUGAGUCUGUAGGAGAGAGAGAGAGAGAGUCUAGGGCGGCGGCGUGAAGCCGCUGGUGUUUGUCUGGCAGAGUCGAGAGGUCGAGGGAGGCGGCGGCAACUCCGCCGCUGCCAGGGGAGGAGACGGCGCAGGGUGCGUCUGUGUGUGAGCGUGCUCUGUUUCCAGAGAGAAGAGGGUGACCGGCGGCGGCCGAUUUUGCUCCGUGUGAGUCGGUGUGUGUGUUAGUGAGAUCUGCAGCUCGUGUGUGUGUGUUUCAAUUGUUGUGUGUGCGUGUUUCAGUUUGAAGGAAGAGAGGGAAUGAGUCAACGCAAAGUUAAAAGUGAGAGGAAGGAAAUUUGCGCUAAUCAGAUUGGGCCUUGCUCUAUUUGGGGUUGGGCUGUUGUGAGUCUUGUAGGCUUUGAUGACCAGGAGUUAUGAGUAAAACUAUAGAUUUUGCUUAAUUAGGUAGGCUUAUUUUUCAAAUGUAUGAUUGAGUUAUUAAGUUCUAAAUGUUUCAAUGACAUGUAAACUGUUUAUCCAAUAAAAUAUUUUGUGCAUUCUGCUCCGUUUAAGGCUCGCAAUUCAUGGAUCGAUCGAGGUUUUUUUAUAACCUAACACUUUGUUUGAGAAUUGUGUACACUUCUUAGUUGUUUCGGUGGGUUGAUCUCCAUCGGACACUAAUUUAUAUAAGAGGCGUUAUAAGAGUGUUUGACGGGAUGUGUUUCGGAGCAUUGUGUCCCAAAUGGGAACUUGGCUGGGUUAGACCUUCAGUUCAAGUAAGUAGGAGUAAUGGAUCCGUCGGCGGCUAAAAGGUCCGGGAUCACAGCGAGUAACUGAUAGGAAGUGUGACAUGUGUGUGCAAAUGAAAUAAAUGUUUUAACAUGCUUAGAAGUUCUUUAUUUUAAAACCUUUUAAGUUAUGUCAAGUAUGAUUGGAUAAACUAUCUUUACGAAAAUAUGAAAUGUUUCAGAAAAUGCAUGUCCACUGAGUACAUUAGUAUUUAACCCAAAUAUUUUCAACUGUACUUUUCAGGUUGAUUGGCUAGUGCGCUGACGGGACUGAGUUGAGGCUAGGGUUCAUGUUAGAUUCUCAACUAAAAACUUGUGAUCCGAAGGGGCGUAGUCUGACUUGUUAUCCUAUUAUUUGAUUUCAACAAGGUUUUCCCAUGUUUAUUUUUAUGAAUUAGUCGCACCUCGAUUAUGUUUAUUCAUUCAAGAUUUGGGGUGUGACAAAAUUUGAUAAAUCUUUCUCUUAUUUUUGUCUCUUAUUUUUUAAUAAUAGAAUUUUCAAAACCACCUUGCUGCUAUCAUUUAUGUUGAACUAUAUAUAACUUGUAUCUAAUCAAUACUCAAUGCGCACCAAAUUAUUCACGAAAUUCGUAUCACGUCCAUGCAGAUGAGAUUUGAAUGCCACCAUCAUCAUGAUGCUCCAAGUUACGGAGUUGAUCAAGAUCUCAACGAUGAUGAUGUCGCCCAUCAUCAUUAUCAUGAUAAAGUCAACCAUGAGAUUCAACCAUUUCAUAUUAUUGGAAGAGGAGUGCCGAAAAGCAACGACUCCACUCCAAGGAAACUCAGGUGGUUGCGCUCUCAAAUCAUCGGCGGCUCAGCUGAAUUCGAUACUCCUUUUGGGCGGCGCCACCUCACUUACGCCGAUCACACCGCUUCCGGUCGCUCCCUCCACUACAUCGAGAACUAUAUUACAACCAAAUUACUUCCCUUUUACGGUAAGUAUGUCGCAAAAUAUAUCAUUCAAGUAAUCAUUGACUCACGCAUUUGAAAUUUACUAGUAUACCAAAUUUCGUGUAUGACUUUAUGUUUUAUUUUCAAUUUUUUUUUAUGCUUUUUCAUCUGUCUUUCUUCAUCUAUUUUAAUUCCAUAUGCUUUAAUUUAAUUUUAUAAUCAUUAACUAAAGUUUAUUCACUAUAUAAUUAUUUUUUAUCAUUUAAUUUUAUUUUUAUUAGUUAAUAAUAUAUUAUUAGAGUUAAUAAAUCUAAAUUUCUUUAUUUAAUAUUCAAAGAAAUAAAAACACGCUCGAACGCAUAGCCCUCUGGUGCCUCGAACCCAAGGUUGCAGGAAAAUUGUUUUAACAAACUGUCCUUUGUCGUAAUGGUUAGAGGAAAUUCAUUUUACUAACAAAUUGUCCAUCAUCAAUGUUUAUUUUGUAAAGGAAGAUCAAUAAUAUUUUUUCUUGACUAGGCAACACGCACACGAGCGAUAGCCACGUGGGAUACCAUACGACGACAAUGGUGCACGAGGCGACGAACUACGUGAAGAGAUGCUUAGGCGGCGGCAAAGAAGACUCCAUAAUGUUCUGCGGGUCGGGCUCGACGGCGGCUAUCAAGCGCCUCCAAGAAGUGAUGGGAAUCACCGUUCCCUCAAUUCUAAGGGAGAGGGUUCUAAAAUGCAUAAGCAAGGAAGUGAGAUGGGUGGUUUUGGUAGGCCCCUAUGAGCACCAUUCCAACCUCCUCUCAUGGCGGCAGAGCCUGGCCGAAGUGGUGGAGAUCGGCCUCGACCACCGUGGACACAUCGACAUGGAGGCUCUACGGAAAAAACUUAGUUUCUACAGGAAUGAAAAACGAAAAAUUCUUGGCUCUUUCUCUGCUUGUAGCAACGUCACCGGAAUUAUCACUGACACCCGCGCCGUCGCCCGCCUCCUUCACCAAUACGGAGCGUUUGCAUGUUUCGACUUUGCUGCAUGGUCAUUAAUUCUUCCAUUUCUUCCGAAUCAAUCACUUUGUUUUCUUUUUAGGAUUAAUUUAUAUUUUGUUUCUCUAACUUUCAAAUAUUUUUCAAAAAUAUAUAUACAACUAAUAUCUUUAAUUUCUUAAAAAUCCUAAACUUUUGAAAAAGUUUAAUUUAUGUUUCUCAUUACAAAAGUCGACGACCAAUAUAUGUUUGUAUGUUAUGAUUUUGCAUGCAGUGGACCGUACACGAAGAUGGAGAUGAGAUCGUGCAAAACAGAUGGAUACGAUGCAAUAUUUUUGAGCCCACAUAAGUUUGUGGGAGGUCCAGGUACACCGGGGAUACUACUGAUGAGCAACAUCCUUUACCAGCUUGGUUCAUCAGCUCCAUCAACUUGUGGAGGUGGAACUGUUGAUUAUGUUAAUGAUUUAGAUGAAAAGGCAAGUGUUGUUGUUAUCUUCUCCAUAAAUUAUAGUAUUGAAUAUAAUUAUGAUCAAAUAUUGUGAUGUCAAUGUCGUACAUAUAUAUGUAUGGUCUACAUAGGGAUAGGGGGUAGGAGGAGAUCAGGUUGGCGUAAGGAGUUAAGAGUUUGGAUAGUUAUAGGUGCGUUGUAUUUAGUAUCCAUUAUUACCUACAUGGCUACAUAAGCAUUUGGGUAGUUAGGUAAGCAUGCAUAUAUUUAGUUAAUAAGUCAAGUUUGGAUAGAUUGGUCUGACUAGUAUUUACUUUUUAUAAUUGAUAUUCCCUCCGUCCAUGAAAAAAAGUUUCAUUUGGGGUUCGGCUCGGGUUUUAAAAAAGUUGUUAAAGUAUGUAUAAGUGAUAUAAAGGUAUAAUUUGUAGGGGUAUUAUUAGUAUAAAAAAAUAGAAUAAAAGUAUAUUUUUAGUUAAAAAGUGAAAUAAAAGUACAAUUUAUAUAUAUAUAUAUAUGAUGCAUUGUUAUAUUAAAGGGCCAUUCGGUUUGAAGGAUUAGAUAGGACUAGAUUAGAUUAAUCUUAUCAUAUCUUGUUCGGUUAGAUGGAUACUGCCCGUGAUUCAAUCUUGGGAGAAUGCCACAUAGGAUUAGUCUUGGUGUAUGAGUCUUGGCUUACCCCUUAUGACAAAAUUAGUUUUGGGCCAACUUAAUCUUAGGUAAUAUCGGACUAAUUUAAUCUCGACAAUCGAAAUGCAUAGAUAAUAGAAGAGGGAUGGAUUCUACCUCAUCCCAUCUUAGUAGUACUAUAUACAAAUUUUAUGUACAUAGUACUUUAGUAGGCUAUUAGUUUAAUUAUCCUGAAAUGAUUGCAGGACACCAUAUAUUUAGAUGAUAUAGAAGAAAGAGAAGACGCAGGAACUCCACAAAACAUCCAGAAAGUAAGAGCCGGCUUAGCUUUUUGGAUCAAAGAAUACAUAGGUUACAAUGCCAUUGACAAACUAGAGAAGAGCUACAUACAAAGAGCUCUGCAACGAUUCACUCCCAAUCCCAAUAUUUUGAUAUUAGGUAACGGCGAUGUGAAGAGACAAUCCAUCUUGUCUUUCCUCAUAUACUCGUCUUCACGAAACAACACUAGAGGAAAGCCGCUCAAUGGCUCCUUCGUUGCCAAACUUCUCAACGACCUCUUCGGCAUUCAGGCCCGUGGGGGCUGCGCUUGUGCCGCCCCUUACGGCCACCGCCUACUUAAUCUCAACGACCACCACUCGCUUGCCUUGAGAUCCUUCAUCAAACAGGUCAGAGAACAUAUAUAUAUAUUCCUAUUAUUAGGGUUAAGUAAUUAAUUAUACUUUCUUUUCGAUCUUUUAAACUUUUUCAAAUUAGAUUUAUUCUUAAAUUAUAGCUCGAAUUUUUUGACUCCAUACGUAUUAACUUCUUAGCUUGAAUUUAAAAAUGUUAUAUAUGUAGCUUGUAUUUAUUCACGUUGUUCAUAUAAUAGCCCGCAUCGAAUUUUUCGAUCAUCUAAAGCUGACAAGGAUAAGAGCUUAUCAAAACUUCGAGCCAAAAACUGUGAAAUUUUGGAAAUUCUAGUCUAUUUCCGACCACAAACUAUAUGGUCCACGUUUGCUUUAGUUGUCAAAAAAAUAAAAUAAAAAUUGAUGCGCUAUUAAAUUAACAAUGUAUAUAAUUUAAGAGUUUGUAAUUUUAUUUUAUUUAUUUGAACUAAAAAGUCACUGCAAGGUAAAUGUUCAGACUAUAAUUUAAUAGUAGCCCUCCAAAAUAUCUAGACCCUUGAAUUUUUAUUUGUUUCAAUUCUAGUUUUGAAGAUGGUGCAAUGGAAAUGUGUUUGUUUAGAGAGCAAUGUUUACUGACGAAGUCGUCGUUUGAGCUUCGCGCAAAUAAAAUAUCCUAUGCCCACAACUAGACUAGCUAGUGGUAAGUCCAGAGUCGAAUCCACAGGGAACUGAGCAAUAACUCCUCCUGUAAGGGUGUCACUAAAAAUGGUUUGUAUUUUGAAGGGUUCUGACCACAGCGUGCUUAUGGGCAGAACAGGGUUUCCAACCUAAACUGAAAUACAAAGGUAGAUAAAUCAAAUAACAAAACAAUCCUGACUUGGGUUCGAAUCACUAAACAUGAACUAGGCACUCGAUCAUUGGUGCAAAGAUAAAUUACUAUACUCGCAUACCAGUGGUUAUAGGCAUAAGAAUUGUUGUGCCCAUAUUGUCACUCGUCACGCACGCAAAAACCCCUUGCCCAAUCUAUCCUUUCAGUUUAUGAUUCCUUUGAAGGGUCAGCUAAUGGAAAUCAACUACCCCGGGCAACAUCCACGCUCUCUGCGAUGGCCUAUCGCUAGUUGUGCUUUGCCCAGAAUGCUUUAAGAACUAGAUAGACCCACUUGACUCUUACGCCGAUAUUUCACAGCAGUCACGGCUCCAACACUCGUUGUACUAUUUUGGAGGUCGAUGGCGUUUUGCCUUAUGCCCAAAUUAUUACUUGUGACCAAAACUCCCUAGUUAACUAGUGAUCAAUUAAUUAACCAAGUUGUUACAGCCUUUUAGGAAUCAAACCUAGUGUAUCGGGAAUAUGCUCAUACAGUUGUUAUGCCCAAAUUAGACCUCUCGAGUUAAGUGUUCAUGCUUAGAUCAUCUUGCCCAAAUCAGAAUAUAAACUUAGCCGAGCAUAAAGUAAAUAACACAAGCAAAAGAUAUAAAGGAAAACAUAACUGAAAUUGAAAGUGCUUAAACGGAAAUAUAAGUACCUACGGCCAAAAGUGCCGUGCAAAACAUAUAACGAAAAGUACUGGAUUAUGCCCACAGCCCGGGCUAGCUUCAACUUCACAAAUACUGCACAACAGGAUGGUUUUUCAGCACCCUUGGCUUUAGAAGCUCUUCGGGUAUUUAUAGGAGUGAUUAGGGCAACCUAAGGCCCAGCCCAUGAUGUUGCGGCCGGAUCCAUGCAAGCAUGGAGAUGCUUAUCCCUUUUCAGACCUAAUCUUCAUGAAGAUAUGUUUCCUUUUGGAUAAGGCGGUGGUUUGGCCUCAUCGGUCUCUUUUGGAUAGCUGCCGCCUUCGGCCCAUAUCGAACUCCCACUUGCAGUCCUCUCUCGCCCGCCUGUUGUGCCUCCGUCUUCCUUCUCUUGCCUGCCAGCUCUCGUGCGGUACUUAUGGGCAUAAGGGAUGGUUUUGCCUCCAAAUCCCCUUUGCUUCCGGCGCAUACCUCUUUCACGAAAGGUGACAGCACUUUCGACCCCUGGAGCACCUCUUGCCCACAAGCUGGUCCUGCCACUGAACUACGCCCUCCCAGGCGACCAAACAACACAAACAAAAGGAAAAAGACUCGAUCUAGACCUAAAACAAACACAAAAAUAUAGCACAAACCUGGGCUCAUCACACGCACACACUUUAAACACGAUUGUCCUCAAGCGUGCAUGCAUGAUUUUGUCCAAGCACAGACACGGACGAAACAGACACACAAAACAGAGGUAAAACGAAAACAAACAGCAUGCUAUACUUUCUCAGUCCAACAGCAAAAUGAAGAUUAAGAGAAGCAACCAGUAGUAUGUUCAAACAAACAAAAAAUGCCAUUAGUUGAGUCAAGAUCAGAUUAUGGGCAUAAGGAUGUUCAUCCCCUUUCACUCUUUCUCUCAAGUGUUUGGGCUCGUGUUUACACUCCGGACAUCUUGAUUGGGUUCUGACCAUAAGCUUGCCUAUCUUCUAUUGUCUUCCCCUUUAGUCAAAGCCCUAGGUGCAUCUCAUUAUGUCUUUCAUUGGUUGUAAUGUGGCUUAAGGCAUAAGGUGGGAAUUUUUGGUACGAGGCUAAGGUCAUUCUGAACUUCGUUCUGGGCAUAUGACUUCCCAGAUUUUUAAAACCCUUGCCUAUUCUUGCGGGCCUAAGCACAUUCUUCCCUUUAUUCUUCCUCUUCUUUUUUUUUCUCUUUUCUUUCUUUUUAUUUAUGGACUUUUUCUAUGGUGGGAUAAAAUUUCCCAUUUUUGCAUUUUUUGUAUUAGUCCUGCCCCAUAAGGUCCACUACACUAUCUUCCCUUCUUUUGCCCUUAAGUUCAGUUUGACCGGGACGGUUCAAUUCUGGGCAAAUUUAUAAGUGAAUUCAAACGAAUUAUUAAGCUCAAAAAGGGUUCACAAGUGAUAGAUGUAGGGUCGGUCGAUUUGGCUCUGUGGGCUAAAGAAAGAAUUUGCCUAAAUCAUUUAACACACCUAGACUAUGUACACAGGGUUCGACUAAGAAUCAAGGCAAGUUCUAGCAUGUCGCAGCCCGAGUCUAGCCAGUGAUAGCGUAGACCGAGUAUCAAUACGACUAAAUAAAAUAAUGAAGUAAAGAAGCAAAAAUAGUCUACCCAAAAACCGGAGCCUCUCCUUAACUAUAUAUGUGAAUAACAGUUGUCAUCUCUCAAAAACAUAGAUAUUAUUGUUUAUGGUUUGAGAAGUGAGGGAUUCUCGACAACGUUGGAAACUUUCUGGUUGGGUUUUCUCACAGUUCGUUUUCCAUCUCGCGGUGAGACUUGAGCGGGCUAUAGUCUGAAGACAUAACUGGAGUUGUUCGAUACGUUCAUCAAUCAUCUUUGCAUCCGAUUCACCGUUAUGUAAUCUUAAUACUGUGUGAGGUGUAAUUCGUCGACAUGUUAGAUUCCUCGUUGUAUGAGACUUAUCUUCCUCCUCGUCGCUUAUCGUGCACAUUUAGCGUUAAUUCAAUUUAAUAUUCCUCAUGUACAUAUGCCGAAAAACAAAAGAAAGCUUGCUCUUAGAGCUAUAAAUUGAACUUGCCACAUUAAGCAACGCACAAGGGUUUUAGUUAGAGAAGAACAUGUGCAUGCAAUUUCGCAAAUCAUAACAUCAUAAUAAAGUAACUGCGCAGUUUAAACAUUCAUUAUGUAUGUACCACAUCCACUACUCAUCAUUAAAGGUACUGAGAAGUAGGCCUCCCUCUCAAGUACCGUGACCGGCCGACCCGAUAGACGGCUCACAGUCACCUCUGUGCACAAAAUCCCGCUUGUGGCAGGACCGAAUUCGUCUCAACAGUAGAGGGUAACACACAAGUCAUUAUUAACAAAACUCGGCAAGUCAAUUAGUUUCAAGCAUAACAUUAACUCAAUUCAUAAUCAUAAAUAUCAUAUCAUUUAAGAAAGCUCGUAUAAUAGGUAUAUCAAAAUAAUGCCCACCUGACAAACUUAGCUUACUCUCGUAGUACUUGGACGAUCUUACCUCCGUCCUCUGCUCGUAUCUUCAGAUGUCACAAUGUCGGAGUGGUUCAUGAGAUAAGAUAAACCUCAGUUAGAAACUCAUUUACUAAAAUCCAAUCUCGUCUCAAACUUUAACUUAUCACUCAUCUUCUAUUUACCCAAAUAAAUCUCAAUCCCUAGGUAUACUUAACUCCUAAGGAUUCACAAGUCCUACUCUCGACUUAACACUCAACUCGAAUUAAACCCAUAGCAAUCAAGCACAUAAACAAGCAUAAUCACAUAAACAUAUAAAUUCACACAUAGACAUGUCACAAACAAACAUCAUUCUGCACUGACUCGAUUUAAAGACUUCACCAGAUUCGGUACAGAGCUCCACUGGAGUCAUGACCUAUACCAUUUAAAACCUCUUUGAGUCUAGUUUCAUUCAAAAAAAGUAGGAUGAAAAACUCCAAGUAGUUUAGGAGAUAUGACUGUUUUCCUACAGUCUACCAUAUUCGGCAGUUUUGAGCAAUUGAAAACUUUGAUUUUUGAAAAAUAGUAAACGUUGCCGAAAAGGCUUGAAAUUUGGUGGGUACUUAUAUAAGACACUCAUGUCUUAAAAAUAAAAAUUUAGGCUCCAAAAAGUUAGGGAAGGACACUGGAAGAGGUGACUCUAUUGGAUACUCACCGAACAUUUCGGCAGAAGGUAGCAGUUUUAGUUUUCUAUUUUAUAAAAAUAGUAAACAAAGUCCAAUUGACUUGAAAUUUUACCGGUAUGCUCCUGACUCUUAUUUAAUCUUACCAUAAAAUUUUCAAGGUCUUUGGGUAACAAGAACCCAACGAAACAGUAGGUAUAAAAGGUCAUAAAAUGACUCCAAACUUGAACAUACAAGCAAUUAUACCUAGACUUUGGAUUUCUUCGAUGCAAAAUUCUCAAAAAUUCAAAUUAAGCUCACAUAAUACACAAUAACAUAAAUACAUAAUCAUAUAACUCAAGAAAAUUCAAACAUCGACUUCCCCUUUUUCUCCCUACAUUCGGCCAACACAUAGGUCAUUAGGGGUUGGUCCGUUUCGUCUCAUAUUGCAUAUAUAAGCUCAAAUAAUCAUCAAAAAGCCACAUAUAGACAUGCUUGGCUCAUAACUCAUCUUAUAUACAUGAUCUCAUGUAUGCACGCAAACUAAACUCGGAAAAUUUUCACAAAUCAACAUCAUUAACCAAUUUAAUCAUGCUUUCUCCUUGCUAGUAGUCUAACUAUCAUAUAAACAUCAUCAAUUCAAGUAUUUAUUUCAUUACUCAAAAGUUCCCAAUUACUAGCAAACUAAACUUAACCAAUUUUAGGCAUUCUUGACAAUUAACCAAAUUGAUCCCUAAUUAUCAUUUCUAUCAUGCUUAAUAACAAUUAAACUUAGCCAAUUUAAUCAAUUAACACAUAGAUCACAAAGUCCCAAUUUUUAACAAACUAAACUUUUUGAAAAUUUGUAAACAUGCAUAAAUCAUUAAUCCAACCUUAGAUCUAUCAAAUUGACACACUUAAUAGCAUAAAUAAACAAUCAAUUAGUAAAUUAAACCAUAGAAUCAAUUUUACCCAAAUUACAUCAAACUAACUCAUAUCAAAAAUUACUAAUCAAUUUCAACCAUCAAUCCAAUCCAUCAAAUCUCAUAUAAACACUCUCAAUAUCAUAUAUCAUCCAUCAAUUCAUCAAUCAAGCCUCAAAUACAAAACUUCCCAAAUUUACACAAACUAAACUAUUUCAAAUCUCAUAUCUCUUUUUAAUUCAAUUAUCUACACAUGGAAAUAGACUAAUUAGGCACCCAAUAGUAUUUAAAUAACAUCAAUUUAAGAAAAGGAAAAGAAAAAAUUUUUUUGAAGGGUAAAAGACCCAAAUUUUCGAAAAUCACAAAGAAGGGAUAGGGGUGUUUUCUUGCUUGAUCUAUCCAUAUAUACACAUAUACAACACAUUUAAGUCUAGAUCUAAAAGGAUUCAUCACUUACUCAAGGAUUUGAACAAAAAUAAAAAUCUCCUCUUUUGCUUCAAAUCUUGAAAACUCCUCCAAAAUUUGCUCUUGAUUCAAGGCUAUAGAUGUUUAAAGCUUGAAUUUGAUGGAGAUCUAUGGUGUAGAGAUGAUCUUAGAAGCUUGGAAAGAUCAUCAAUGGUGGUAGAGAGAGAAAAGAAAGUGAGAAGGAAGAGAGAAAUGAGAGGGAUCGAAAAUGAGGGGGAGGGAAGAGAGAGAGAUGUUUUGUUUAAAGCUUAAACUUGCUCACUAAGCUACUAAUUUAGCUUCUCCAACACUUCACACAUGCAACUUGCCCACUAAGUCAUCCAAUUAAUUAAUGCAAAAUUAAACUCUCACAUGUGGCUUGCUAAAUACUACACUAAUUAAUGAGAUCAAGCUUGUAGGAAAAGCUAAGUUAGGGAAAAUCACUUACUAAUUAAAAACCAUAAAUCAAUAUCAUCUAAUAGUGUGAUCCAAUAAUUAAUCAUAAUUAGAAUACACCUAAUUCACAUCACAUCUAGCUCAUUAAAAUAAAUUCCAAUAAAUUCCAAUAGGAGAAAUUUAUAAUAUAAAAGUGAGAUUACAAUUCACCAUUUUUUUUUAAAAAAAAAUUAUCUCUAUGUUACAACAUCCAAGAAAAAUUAUAAAUCAAACAAUCUCAAAUAUGUCAUCACGUAGGUCACAUAAAAAAAAUAUCAAUUUUUCUCACUCAAACAUGACCUCUCAAUCAGUCAAAAUCUAACAAAAAUUUAACUGUCUCAUGAAUUCGACUCAUCUCUAUAGUAAGUCUCACUCACUCACCUCGGCUCUAUAUCUAGCCAGGUAUCCUCUUAACUUAACAUUGUAAAUCGUCUCAAUAAUAAUUAAGCUUUCUUUAUCGGAAGCAUAAACUACAUCAUCUCCUCAAUUUAAUCAGCAUUUCUAUCAAAAACUCAUUCUAUAAAAAAAAAUUCACCCACUAGUUCUAUCAUCAACUUCUAAAAUACUCACAUCUCAAUCUUAAAAAAAAUUUCUCAUCCUUAAUAAGCUAAUGCUAGAAUCUCGACACUCUAAUAGCGAAUCCUCAAAAUAAAUAGUAUGGAAAACUGCGGGGUGUUACAUCCUACCCCCCUUAAAAAAAAUUUCGUCCCGAAAUUUGUGUUACUC